This 118-nucleotide ribosomal RNA is filed under the name Carlito syrichta (Philippine tarsier). The record is from RNAcentral. Lineage: Eukaryota; Metazoa; Chordata; Mammalia; Primates; Tarsiidae.
CUAGAAUAUAAAAUACAGAGAACGUGCCCGAUCUUGUCUGAUCUUGGAAGUUAAGCAGGGUCAGAUCUGGUUGGUACUUGGGUAGGAGAAUAUAAAGUACAAAAGGAAAUGUUAUAUU